Molecule: ribosomal RNA, 201 nt
Filed under: Escherichia coli
Lineage: Bacteria; Pseudomonadati; Pseudomonadota; Gammaproteobacteria; Enterobacterales; Enterobacteriaceae
Description: partial 16S ribosomal RNA
Rfam family: Bacterial small subunit ribosomal RNA
Source: RNAcentral
UUGACGGGGGCCCGCACAAGCGGUGGAGCAUGUGGUUUAAUUCGAUGCAACGCGAAGAACCUUACCUGGUCUUGACAUCCACGGAAGUUUUCAGAGAUGAGAAUGUGCCUUCGGGAACCGUGAGACAGGUGCUGCAUGGCUGUCGUCAGCUCGUGUUGUGAAAUGUUGGGUUAAGUCCCGCAACGAGCGCAACCCUUAUCC